RNAcentral lists this long non-coding RNA (1909 nucleotides) under Triticum aestivum (bread wheat). RNAcentral describes it as "long non-coding RNA (TAES_LNC022415)". The record is from RNAcentral. Lineage: Eukaryota; Viridiplantae; Streptophyta; Magnoliopsida; Poales; Poaceae.
CAGAUUGGUCGCCUGAUGCAGUCAGUAAUUGGGAUCCCUCCUAAAUAAAUGACAUGAAUAAGAUGAUUAACUUUGCCAGAGACACAAAAAUACUGAAGCAGAGAAAACAGCUGUUGCAUAUUGCACGUAAAUGUGGUUAUAUCGUGCGUUGAGGAGGUGGCAUCUCUGGCGGUUGGCGACGGCACGUCAGAACCCGUGGAGGGCGACCAACGGCGACAAGGGCCGGGAGGCCGAGGCGGCGUGAGGAGGAGGUCGAGCAGGUCGAGCAGGUUCGCGGUCCAUGGCCUUCCUUGUUGUGCACAAGCAGAGAUGAGUCGGGCCUGCACACAACAGCACGCACACACACAUCAAAUCGAGAAGAAGAAGAAGAAGAAGAAGAAGAGAAGGGGAUGCACUCACGCAUCAAAUGCUCUUCUUGGAGGGGAUCCUGCUGGCUUGACCUGCAGUUGGAAGGAGGGGCUAGGGUUUCAGGCGGCGGUUGCGGUCGGACGCGAGGGCUAGGUCCUCUGCUGCUCUCUGCAGGCAACCAUGGUGGUGGCGCGAAACGGGGCUCCUCUGCAGCGACCGGAGAGGAGAUGAGAUGGGGGAGGAAGAACGCGGGCGCGGGCUACGUCGUCGCCGUCGAGGCCAUGGACCAGAGGGUGAUCUGCGGCGCCACCGCCAGAUCGGUCAUCAUGGCCGCGGGCGAGGGAGGCGACGGUGACGUCUUGAGUAGGAGGAUGGGGGCGAGGGCUUAAGGAGGAGGUCGGAACGGCGCUGGCUGGCUUCUCCCGGCGAGGUCCGGGAGGCGCCCGGGCGAGGCCAGCGAGGAACAUGCAGCGGCGGCUGAGGAGGAGGGGCUAGGAACCCUAGCCAGGGUGAGGGAGUCAUGGGUGGGUGGCGAUGGAUUGUGGGAGCGGGCUGCCUAUGAGCGCAUCGACCGUGGGGAGGUAAAAAACCAGACGAAAAAAUAACCAACGAAAAUAAAACGGAGGUGGGAGGAUGAUGAAAAAAACCAGCGAAAAUAAAACCGCGCGGACUAUUCACCAACUGCUCCGUUAGGAGUAGAGAUUAUGAGAAAUUAAAUGAAUUGAUGGAUCAUGCUGUACUCACAGAUUGGUCGCCUGAUGCAGUCAGUAAUUGGGAUCCCUCCUAAAUAAAUGACAUGAAUACGAUGAUUAACUUUGCCAGAGACACAAAAAUACUGAAGCAGAGAAAACAGCUGUUGCAUAUUGCACGUAAAUGUGGUUAUAUCGUGUGUUGAGGAGGUGGCAUCUCUGGCGGUUGGCGACGGCACGUCAGAACCCGUGGAGGGCGACCAACGGCGACAAGGGCCGGGAGGCCGAGGCGGCGUGAGGAGGAGGUCGAGCAGGUCGAGCAGGUCCGCGGUCCAUGGCCUUCCUUGUUGUGCACAAGCAGAGAUGAGUCGGGCCUGCACACAACAGCACACACGCACACAUCAAAUCGAGAAGAAGAAGAAGAAGAAGAAGAGAAGGGGAUGCACUCACGCAUCAAAUGCUCUUCUUGGAGGGGAUCCUGCUGGCUUGACCUGCAGUUGGAAGGAGGGGCUAGGGUUUCAAGCGGCGGUUGCGGUCGGACGCGACGGCUAGGUCCUCUUCUGCUCGCUGUAGGCAACCAUGGUGGUGGCGCGAAACGGGGCUCCUCUGCAGCGACCGAAGAGGAGAUGAGAUGGGGGAGGAAGAACGCGGGCGCGGGCUACGUCGUCGCCGUCGAGGCCAUGGACCAGAGGGUGAUCUGUGGCGCCACUGCCAGAUUGGUCAUCAUGGCCGCAGGCGAGGGAGGCGACGGUGACGUCUUGAGUAGGAGGAUGGGGGCGAGGACUUAAGGAGGAGGUCGGAACGGCGCUGGCUGGCUUCCCCGGCGAGGUCCGGGAGGCGCCCGGGCGAGGCCAGCGAGGAACAUGCAGCGG